AUACAUGCAAGUCGAACGAGUUCUCGUUGAUGAUCGGUGCUUGCACCGAGAUUCAACAUGGAACGAGUGGCGGACGGGUGAGUAACACGUGGGUAACCUGCCCUUAAGUGGGGGAUAACAUUUGGAAACAGAUGCUAAUACCGCAUAGAUCCAAGAACCGCAUGGUUCUUGGCUGAAAGAUGGCGUAAGCUAUCGCUUUUGGAUGGACCCGCGGCGUAUUAGCUAGUUGGUGAGGUAAUGGCUCACCAAGGCGAUGAUACGUAGCCGAACUGAGAGGUUGAUCGGCCACAUUGGGACUGAGACACGGCCCAAACUCCUACGGGAGGCAGCAGUAGGGAAUCUUCCACAAUGGACGCAAGUCUGAUGGAGCAACGCCGCGUGAGUGAAGAAGGCUUUCGGGUCGUAAAACUCUGUUGUUGGAGAAGAAUGGUCGGCAGAGUAACUGUUGUCGGCGUGACGGUAUCCAACCAGAAAGCCACGGCUAACUACGUGCCAGCAGCCGCGGUAAUACGUAGGUGGCAAGCGUUAUCCGGAUUUAUUGGGCGUAAAGCGAGCGCAGGCGGUUUUUUAAGUCUGAUGUGAAAGCCCUCGGCUUAACCGAGGAAGCGCAUCGGAAACUGGGAAACUUGAGUGCAGAAGAGGACAGUGGAACUCCAUGUGUAGCGGUGAAAUG
This 673-nucleotide ribosomal RNA is filed under the name Lactobacillus casei group sp. RNAcentral's name for it is "bacterial SSU rRNA". It matches the Rfam family "Bacterial small subunit ribosomal RNA", at positions 51 to 688 of the family's 1533-position model. Lineage: Bacteria; Bacillati; Bacillota; Bacilli; Lactobacillales; Lactobacillaceae. The record is from RNAcentral.